RNAcentral lists this ribosomal RNA (253 nucleotides) under uncultured bacterium. Its description in RNAcentral is "partial 16S ribosomal RNA". It matches the Rfam family "Bacterial small subunit ribosomal RNA", at positions 524 to 776 of the family's 1533-position model. The record is from RNAcentral.
UACGAAGGGGGCUAGCGUUGUUCGGAAUUACUGGGCGUAAAGCGCGCGCAGGCGGUCCUUCAAGUCAGUGGUGAAAGCCCAGGGCUCAACCCUGGAACUGCCUUUGAGACUAGAGGACUUGGGUACGGGAGAGGUGAGUGGAAUUCCGAGUGUAGAGGUGAAAUUCGUAGAUAUUCGGAAGAACACCAGUGGCGAAGGCGGCUCACUGGCCCGUUACCGACGCUCAGGCGCGACAGCGUGGGGAGCAAACAGG